This is a long non-coding RNA of Drosophila yakuba, 845 nucleotides long. RefSeq lists it as uncharacterized. Lineage: Eukaryota; Metazoa; Arthropoda; Insecta; Diptera; Drosophilidae. The transcript has 2 exons. The record is from RefSeq and is a predicted model, not a curated record.
GAGAAGCACACAAAACUCAAUCGACACCCACUGGGCGGUGACAAAUAAGCUGGGGGUGGUGCUCGCGAUUCGCAUUAAUAGGGUUGCUAAUUAUUAACGUUUGCUGCCCAAGCCCGGUUUCUGGAUUUCCGUUCCCCAAACGCCAAGCUUCCAAGCCACCACAUUCACCAUUCCAGCCCUAUUGUGGCUUGGCGCCUAGUGUGUCGACGACUCUCAUAAUGAGUUUUUUCUGGCUGCAGUUUUGUUGCUUGGGCUGCGACAAAUGCGGCAGUGCAUCAUGUCGGGGCAAAAUCAGUUUCGAAAAUGCUUUGUCAACAGCAACACACAUUCAAAAUUUUCGGUUUAGUCGCAUAAGUUUUAUUUUGCCUGAGUUAGUAGCACUUUACAACUUUGGCUCACCACUUGGUUCUGUGUUGGAAAAUUCUCCUGAUUUCCUGCCAAAAGGGAAAUUCCCCUCAACAUGAGUGAGUGUGUGUGUGUGUGUUUCUGCGCGCCAGUGGAUGUCCUGUCUAAAUCUAAGCGCAUCCUGCAAGCAUUCCAAAAGCCCAGAGAGCAGCAUCAGCUCCGCUGAACCCUAAACCGUAGAGGGUGCCCCUCCACCGCCCAUCGCCCACUGCCCGCCUAUUGUCGGCGUCGGCGUUGUCUCUGUUGUUGCUGUUGUUGUGGCUGGUGCUUGCGGUUUUGUUUUUGCUGCUAGUUAGCUGCGCUGGCCGAUACAUCUGAUUAACAAAAUUAGUUUAGAAAACUCCGCUCUCGCGUUCGAAACAAACAAAUAUUGUUCGCUUUUUCGACAAAAAUAAAAUGAUUACGAGUUAUUCUUAGAAUUCGGAAUGACUUGAAGAGAA